Molecule: transfer RNA, 75 nt
Filed under: Aneurinibacillus migulanus
Lineage: Bacteria; Bacillati; Bacillota; Bacilli; Caryophanales; Paenibacillaceae
Also listed under: 3 other names
Description: partial Cys tRNA
Rfam family: tRNA
About the family: Transfer RNA (tRNA) molecules are approximately 80 nucleotides in length. Their secondary structure includes four short double-helical elements and three loops (D, anti-codon, and T loops).
Source: RNAcentral
GGGAGUAUAGCCAAGUGGUAAGGCAAAGGUCUGCAAAACCUUUAUUCCCCGGUUCAAAUCCGGGUACUCCCUCCA